This 504-nucleotide ribosomal RNA is filed under the name uncultured Desulfobulbus sp. RNAcentral's name for it is "bacterial SSU rRNA". It matches the Rfam family "Bacterial small subunit ribosomal RNA", at positions 910 to 1382 of the family's 1533-position model. The record is from RNAcentral. Lineage: Bacteria; Pseudomonadati; Thermodesulfobacteriota; Desulfobulbia; Desulfobulbales; Desulfobulbaceae.
CCCGCUACAGAAACUUAAAGGGAAGUUCGACGGGGCCCGCACAAGCGGUGGAGUAUGUGGUUUAAUUCGAUGCAACGCGAAGAACCUUACCUGGUCUUGACAUCCCGGAGACCCUUAGGAAACUAGGGGGUGCUUCCAUCUGGAAGAAUCUGGAGACAGGUGCUGCAUGGCUGUCGUCAGCUCGUGUCGUGAGAUGUUGGGUUAAGUCCCGCAACGAGCGCAACCCUUGCCUUUAGUUGCCAGCAGUUCGGCUGGGCACUCUAAAGGGACUGCCGGUGUUAAACCGGAGGAAGGUGGGGAUGACGUCAAGUCCUCAUGGCCUUUAUGACCAGGGCUACACACGUACUACAAUGGCCGAUACAAAGGGCAGCGACACUGCGAGGUGAAGCCAAUCCCGUAAAAUCGGUCUCAGUCCGGAUUGGAGUCUGCAACUCGACUGCAUGAAGUUGGAAUCGCUAGUAAUCGUGGAUCAGCCAAGCCGCGGUGAAUACGUUCCCGGGCCUU